ACCCCACAUCCUCCACGUGACCCCCGCCUACGUCCAUCUGCUUCCUUCUCAUCUACUACCAGCUCGCCCCCUCAUCCCCGGCUCCAACCAUUUAUUUCGCUCUCGCACCAAGGAGAAAAGCCUCAAAUCUAUCUCCCGUCUGGCAGCCUGCCUGCAGCCUGCUUGUUGAUUUCUACAUAAUUAUUACAGCUUUGCCUACCGUGUUCUUAUUCCGCUUUGAAAUUUGUGAUUUUUGUUUUAUUUCGCUGGUCGAGCUGCGUGAGUUUCAGUCGCUGUGCUCCUUCUUGACUUGCCUGUGAGAUUUCCCAUUCGAGGCAUCUUUUCUUUUCGGUUCAGUUGAUGUGUUCUUUCUUCGUGGUUUGAUCCAUUUCGGCGUGCCGAUGAUGAUGCAAAAGCAUCGGUGAAUUCUGGAUGAGUGUGCCCGCGCACGACCAGUGUGCGGCUCUGGUGAUAUCCACAGCCCCCCCAAGAAAAAUUUCUUCUUAAAGCAAGCUGAUGAGUUAGAAAAUUUGCCCUAUCAAGUGAACCAGUGAUCAAUCACCUCUGUUUUAUUCUUCAGUCAGGAUUUCUGGUGAAUUUUCAUGUCGUCCACAGUGAGUACACACCGUUAAUUCUCUGUAGCAAAACAACUGUUUGUCACAUUUGAUGUUAUCUUUUUCAAGGAAUAAUUCUUGUUUC
Aegilops tauschii subsp. strangulata is the source of this 678-nucleotide long non-coding RNA. RefSeq lists it as uncharacterized. The record is from RefSeq and is a predicted model, not a curated record. NCBI's taxonomy places the organism in Eukaryota, Viridiplantae, Streptophyta, Magnoliopsida, Poales, Poaceae.